Molecule: long non-coding RNA, 270 nt
Filed under: Lathyrus oleraceus (garden pea)
Lineage: Eukaryota; Viridiplantae; Streptophyta; Magnoliopsida; Fabales; Fabaceae
Description: Pisum sativum (pea) long non-coding RNA (PSAT_LNC006165)
Source: RNAcentral
CAUUUUUGAAAAGUCAGAGGUAUUUAAAAAUCAAUUAAAACAAGUCAAAAAUCACAAAAUUCACUAAAAUUAUCAAACUCAAUCCAAAAAUUAAUUUUAAUUCAGAAAUGGAAAGAGGAAAUUAUAUGUGAAUUUUGGUGUUGGUCCCAUAAUUUUUGGAUUAAAAAAAAUUAUAAUGAAUUUGAUAAGAAAAUGCUAUUUAAAAAUUAAUUUGGAAAAAUAAAGCAAAUCAGAAAAACAAGGGCCAUCAGAUCUCCCUCAUUAAUUGAG